UCUUAAGGGAUAAUCCAGGCCAAGGAAGCAUCCUGAGACUCUAUGGAGAAAGACUACCACUUCUCACAGAGUGGAGGGGAGAGAAGCAAAUGAGCAAUGUCUAUUUAUGUAUCUGUAUUCUAGAUCAUCCUUUGUAGGGAGAAGAUGAAAGACAAUUUCACUGGGAGAUGGUCUGAAGUUGUUAGUGCUGCUGUCCUGUUUUCUUGAGGAAAAAGCAAGACAAAUUUUCAAAAGAAAAAAAGAAGUAGCAAAGGAAGCAGCAAGGAUGGAAAAUACAGUGUCAGGAGCAGCAGGAGCAGGAAGCAGCUCGCAGAGUUCAAAAGUUCUACCAGUAUUUGGAGCAGUUGUUUUAUAAAAAUCCUCCACUUUCCUAAGAAUGCAAG
Molecule: long non-coding RNA, 383 nt
Organism: Vidua chalybeata
Lineage: Eukaryota; Metazoa; Chordata; Aves; Passeriformes; Viduidae
Exons: 3
Source: RefSeq, a predicted model, not a curated record